This 58-nucleotide transfer RNA is filed under the name Dipodomys ordii (Ord's kangaroo rat). It matches the Rfam family "tRNA", at positions 8 to 63 of the family's 71-position model. Rfam says of the family: Transfer RNA (tRNA) molecules are approximately 80 nucleotides in length. Their secondary structure includes four short double-helical elements and three loops (D, anti-codon, and T loops). Further hydrogen bonds mediate the characteristic L-shaped molecular structure. tRNAs have two regions of fundamental functional importance: the anti-codon, which is responsible for specific mRNA codon recognition, and the 3' end, to which the tRNAs corresponding amino acid is attached (by aminoacyl-tRNA synthetases). tRNAs cope with the degeneracy of the genetic code in two manners: having more than one tRNA (with a specific anti-codon) for a particular amino acid; and 'wobble' base-pairing, i.e. permitting non-standard base-pairing at the 3rd anti-codon position. The record is from Rfam by way of RNAcentral. Lineage: Eukaryota; Metazoa; Chordata; Mammalia; Rodentia; Heteromyidae.
UGGCUCAGUGGGAGAGUGCUUGCCUUGCAUGCAAGAGGCCCUGGGUUCAAUUCCUCAG